GUGCCAGCAGCCGCGGUAAUACGUAGGGACCAAGCGUUGUUCGGAUUUACUGGGCGUAAAGGGCGCGUAGGCGGGACGAGUAAGUCACUUGUGAAAUCUCUGAGCUUAACUCAGAACGGCCAAGUGAUACUGCAGUGCUAGAGUGUGGAAGGGGCAAUCGGAAUUCUUGGUGUAGCGGUGAAAUGCGUAGAUAUCAAGAGGAACACCUGAGGUGAAGACGGGUUGCUGGGCCAACACUGACGCCGAGGCGCGAAAGCCAGGGGAGCAAACGGGAUUAGAUACCCCGGUAGUCC
This 293-nucleotide ribosomal RNA is filed under the name uncultured prokaryote. Its description in RNAcentral is "partial 16S ribosomal RNA". It matches the Rfam family "Bacterial small subunit ribosomal RNA", at positions 505 to 796 of the family's 1533-position model. The record is from RNAcentral.